Molecule: long non-coding RNA, 553 nt
Organism: Marmota monax (woodchuck)
Lineage: Eukaryota; Metazoa; Chordata; Mammalia; Rodentia; Sciuridae
Exons: 3
Source: RefSeq, a predicted model, not a curated record
AGAGAUCAGCUAAAAUUGCCACAAACACCCGUGGCCAGCCCCUGGGGCACAAAAGAAACUCCAGCCCCGUUGCAGUUCACAGCUUUCAGUGUUUCUUGAGUCUCUAGACGAACCAGCAGUGUUUCUGAACCGGCUGGGGAAGAAGUUCUUUUCUGCAAAAUGUUCCUCUAGUCAUAGAUAUCAACGGGCUAUGUCUUUCUGCCCCAGGACUGCAGGAGGAACACAUCUUCAGAGAGGACACAUCAGCUUUGGCUGUUAGAAGAGCCUUGGAGUGAGGAGCCCGAAGGGGUGGAGAGGAGAUCUCUGCUCAGUUAAUGCCUACUUUAUUCUCUGCCGCCAAAGACUGCACAGGAAUUUUUAUCACCAUUGGGGGCCUAAUACUGGUGGUGAAAAAGCAAGUUCCUGUCCUGGUUGCUGAACUAAAAAGGAGUAAAUGUCUUGGAUGUCUCAAGUUUCUUUGUCAAGCAAACAAAAAUAAAGGAAUCUAGUUUACUGGAAUAGUUGCAGUGCUCAUUAAAAUUGAUGACUUCGAAGAUUCUGAGCCUGUCUUCCU